CGGGUGAGUAACGCGUGAGGAACCUGCCUCAAAGAGGGGGACAACAGUUGGAAACGACUGCUAAUACCGCAUAAGCCCACGGCUCGGCAUCGAGCAGAAGGGAAAGGAGCAAUCCGCUUUUGAGAUGGCCUCGCGUCCGAUUAGCUAGUUGGUGAGGUAACGGCCCACCAAGGCAACGAUCGGUAGCCGGACUGAGAGGUUGAACGGCCACAUUGGGACUGAGACACGGCCCAG
Molecule: ribosomal RNA, 234 nt
Filed under: uncultured bacterium
Lineage: Bacteria
Description: partial 16S ribosomal RNA
Rfam family: Bacterial small subunit ribosomal RNA
Source: RNAcentral